AGUGAACGCUGGCGGUAGGCCUAACACAUGCAAGUCAAACGGCAGCACAGUAAGAGCUUGCUCUUACGGGUGGCGAGUGGCGGACGGGUGAGGAAUACAUCGGAAUCUACUUUUUCGUGGGGGAUAACGUAGGGAAACUUAAGAUAAUACAGCAUACGACCUACGGGUGAAAGCAGGGGAUCUUCGGACCUUGCGCGAUUGAAUGAGCCGAUGUCGGAUUAGCUAGUUGGCGGGGUAAAGGCCCACCAAGGCGACGAUCCGUAGCUGGUCUGAGAGGAUGAUCAGCCACACUGGAACUGAGACACGGUCCAGACUCCUACGGUAGGCAGCAGUGGGGAAUAUUGGACAAUGGGCGCAAGCCUGAUCCAGCCAUACCGCGUGGGUGAAGAAGGCCUUCGGGUUGUAAAGCCCUUUUGUUGGGAAAGAAAAGCAGCAGGUUAAUACCCCGCUGUUCUGACGGUACCCAAAGAAUAAGCACCGGCUAACUUCGUG
Molecule: ribosomal RNA, 492 nt
Filed under: uncultured bacterium
Lineage: Bacteria
Description: partial 16S ribosomal RNA
Rfam family: Bacterial small subunit ribosomal RNA
Source: RNAcentral